CCUACGGGAGGCAGCAGUGAGGAAUAUUGGUCAAUGGACGAGAGUCUGAACCAGCCAAGUAGCGUGAAGGAUGACUGCCCUAUGGGUUGUAAACUUCUUUUAUAUGGGAAUAAAAUGUUCCACGUGUGGGAUUUUGUAUGUACCAUAUGAAUAAGGAUCGGCUAACUCCGUGCCAGCAGCCGCGGUAAUACGGAGGAUCCGAGCGUUAUCCGGAUGUAUUGGGUUUAAAGGGAGCGUAGGUGGAUUGUUAAGUCAGUUGUGAAAGUUUGCGGCUCAAACGUAAAAUUGCAGUUGAAACUGGCAGUCUUGAGUACAGUAGAGGUGGGCGGAAUUCGUGGUGUAGCGGUGAAAUGCUUAGAUAUCACGAAGAACUCCGAUUGCGAAGGCAGCUCACUGGACUGCAACUGACACUGAGGCUCGAAAGUGUGGGUAUCAAACAGGAUUAGAUACCCCUGUAGUC
Molecule: ribosomal RNA, 460 nt
Filed under: uncultured bacterium
Lineage: Bacteria
Description: partial 16S ribosomal RNA
Rfam family: Bacterial small subunit ribosomal RNA
Source: RNAcentral